AUCAAGACGAGGUAAAUUCUUACUGCAAAGGAAGGACUAUGAUGUCUGUAUGACGAAGAUUUAGUUCUCAGGUUAUGGCAAGUCGUGAUCAAGGGACUUUCAGUGAGAACAACCUUCACAGAAGAGUCAGAUUCAACUUGUUAGACGACAAACCAAAGACCAUGCUAAAUAACAAUUGGCAGAAACAGCUCCCAAAGAACAAACGAUUUUCUCGUCUAUCAUGGCUGCUCAGAUUCUACAGGCGAAGACCGCUGACUGCUCUAUUUGUGAGCACUGCCCUUUUGGCCGGCUCUGUCCCUUGCAUGUUAUUUCUUGGAUUCGUUUUCGUCACUUUUAUCGUUUCCUUUGUUGUAUUUGUAAUAGCCGAGUCCUCUUUGGUUGGCGCGGGGCUCUUUGCCCUAGUCGUAGUCCUCUCUGUGCCCUUGUGUUGCGCAGCAGCCUCAACUGCAUGUUUACUUGGCUGUUGGUGGGCUGUCAGUUACCUCCAGGAUUCCCUCUCCAAUAUGGUGGAGCCUGCUGAAACGAUGUUUCACUACUUGGUGGGUGUCUAUGUUCCUCGCAAGAUUAAGGAUUUAAUUUAUGCAUUCUAAAAGCUGUGAGAAAUGACUAAGAAGGACUGAGAUGAGUGUCAAGAUCACAGACAUUGCGCAAGAGAGAAUAAUCCUCCUUAGUUAAACCUAUUCGGAGAGACGUAAUGUGACAAGUCUACCGAAUUAGCAAUUAUUUUCAGUAGGGUGACUCGAUUGAUUCUUUGUGGACUAUAGUCUGUAACAAAAUGACGGCAAAUAAACAGGACGAGAACACCCUA
Long non-coding RNA from Stylophora pistillata, 808 nucleotides. RefSeq lists it as uncharacterized. NCBI's taxonomy places the organism in Eukaryota, Metazoa, Cnidaria, Anthozoa, Scleractinia, Pocilloporidae. The record is from RefSeq and is a predicted model, not a curated record.